RNAcentral lists this ribosomal RNA (685 nucleotides) under uncultured bacterium. RNAcentral describes it as "bacterial SSU rRNA". It matches the Rfam family "Bacterial small subunit ribosomal RNA", at positions 35 to 701 of the family's 1533-position model. The record is from RNAcentral.
GUUGCGGGGUGCUUACCAUGCAAGUCGAACGCGAAAGGGGGCUUCGGCUCCCGAGUAGAGUGGCGCACGGGUGAGCAACGCGUGGAUAAUCUGCCCUCUUGUUCGGGAUAACUGCUGGAAACGGCAGCUAAUACCGGAUAAGCUCCACCAAUUGUAUGGUGGAGGAAAGGAGGCCUCUUCAUGAAAGCUUCCGCGAGGGGAUGAGUCCGCGUCCCAUUAGCUAGUUGGUGAGGUAACGGCCCACCAAGGCAACGAUGGGUAGCCGGUCUAAGAGGAUGACCGGCCACACUGGAACUGAAACACGGUCCAGACUCCUACGGGAGGCAGCAGUGGGGAAUAUUGCGCAAUGGACGAAAGUCUGACGCAGCGACGCCGCGUGAGGGAUGAAGGUUUUCGGAUCGUAAACCUCUGUCAGGAGGGAAGAAAGCGCAUGGCGCCAAUCAGCCAUGCGUUGACGGUACCUCCAAAGGAAGCGCCGGCUAACUCCGUGCCAGCAGCCGCGGUAAUACGGAGGGCGCGAGCGUUAAUCGGAAUUACUGGGCGUAAAGCGCGCGUAGGCUGUUGUGUAAGUUGGGGGUGAAAUCCCACGGCUCAACCGUGGAACAGCCCUUGAUACUGCGCGACUUGAAUCCGGGAGAGGGUGGCGGAAUUCCAGGUGUAGGAGUGAAAUCCGUAUUGGAUCAGG